GCUUAACACAUGCAAGUCGUACGGAGUUUACUUAACAGAUUUCUUCGGAAUGAUGUUUUUUAAACUUAGUGGCGGACGGGUGAGUAACGCGUGGGUAACCUGCCUUACACAGGGGGAUAGCAGUUGGAAACGACUGGUAAUACCGCAUACCUUACAUUAUUCGCAUGUUUGAUGUAAGAAAGAUUUUAUCGGUGUAAGAUGGACCCGCGUCUGAUUAGCUAGUUGGUGUGGUAACGGCAUACCAAGGCGACGAUCAGUAGCCGGCCUGAGAGGGUGAACGGCCACAUUGGGACUGAGAUACGGCCCAGACUCCUACGGGAGGCAGCAGUGGGGAAUAUUGCACAAUGGAGGCAACUCUGAUGCAGCGACGCCGCGUGAGUGAAGAAGUAUUUCGGUAUGUAAAGCUCUAUCAGUAGGGAAGAUAAUGACGGUACCUACAGAAGAAGCCCCGGCUAAAUACGUGCCAGCCGCCGCCGUAA
RNAcentral lists this ribosomal RNA (479 nucleotides) under uncultured bacterium. RNAcentral describes it as "partial 16S ribosomal RNA". It matches the Rfam family "Bacterial small subunit ribosomal RNA", at positions 46 to 523 of the family's 1533-position model. The record is from RNAcentral.